GAACGACCCAGAACUAUGUCUGGAAGUGGCACACUGCUCAGUAACACGUAGCUAACCUACCCUUAGGACGUGGAUACCCCCGAGAAAUUGGGGUUAAUCCGCGAUAGAUGUAAUGUCCUGGAAUGGUAUUACGUCUAAAGGUAUUUCAUACAUGUUUGAAAUAUGCUAAGGAUGGGGCUGCGGCCGAUCAGGCUGUUGGUGAGGUAAUGGCUCACCAAACCUUUGACCGGUACGGGCCAUGAGAGUGGUAGCCCGGAGAUGGACACUGAGACAAGGGUCCAGGCCCUAAGGGGCGCAGCAACCGCGAAACCUCCACAAUGCACUCACGUGCGAUGGGGCUAUCUCGAGUGCCACCUGAUGAAGGUGGCUUUUCCUUGGUCUUCAAAGCCUUGGGAAUAAGAGGGGGGCAAGACUGGUGUCAGCCGCCGCGGUAACACCAGCCCCUCGAGUGGUGGGGAUGAUUAUUUGGCCUAAAGCGUCCGUAGCCGGCCGUGAAAGUCUUCCGUUAAAUCCAGCGUCUCAAGCGUUGGACCGCGGGAGAUACUACAUGGCUAGAGAGUGGGAGAGGUCAGCGGUAUUCUGGGGGUAGGGGCGAAAUCCUUUGAUCCCCGGAGGACCACCAGUGGCGAAGGCUGCUGACUAGAACACGUCUGACGGUCAGGGACGAAAGCUGGGGUAGCGAACCGGAUUAGAUACCCGGGUAGUCCCAGCCGUAAACGAUGCAUGCUAGGUGUUGGGUUGGCCACGAGCCACCCCAGUGCUGCAGGGAAGCCGUUAAGCAUGCCGCCUGGGAAGUACGAUCGCAAGAUUGAAACUUAAAGGAAUUGGCGGGGGAGCACCACCAGGCGUGAAGCCUGCGGUUUAAUUGG
Molecule: ribosomal RNA, 869 nt
Filed under: uncultured archaeon
Lineage: Archaea
Description: bacterial SSU rRNA
Rfam family: Archaeal small subunit ribosomal RNA
Source: RNAcentral